This 567-nucleotide ribosomal RNA is filed under the name Crystallibacter crystallopoietes. Its description in RNAcentral is "bacterial SSU rRNA". It matches the Rfam family "Bacterial small subunit ribosomal RNA", at positions 326 to 903 of the family's 1533-position model. Lineage: Bacteria; Bacillati; Actinomycetota; Actinomycetes; Micrococcales; Micrococcaceae. The record is from RNAcentral.
ACGGCCCAAACUCCUACGGGAGGCAGCAGUGGGGAAUAUUGCACAAUGGGCGCAAGCCUGAUGCAGCGACGCCGCGUGAGGGAUGACGGCCUUCGGGUUGUAAACCUCUUUCAGCAGGGAAGAAGCGAAAGUGACGGUACCUGCAGAGGAAGCGCCGGCUAACUACGUGCCAGCAGCCGCGGUAAUACGUAGGGCGCAAGCGUUGUCCGGAAUUAUUGGGCGUAAAGAGCUCGUAGGCGGUUUGUCGCGUCUGCUGUGAAAGCCCGGGGCUCAACCCCGGGUCUGCAGUGGGUACGGGCAGACUAGAGUGCAGUAGGGGAGACUGGAAUUCCUGGUGUAGCGGUGAAAUGCGCAGAUAUCAGGAGGAACACCGAUGGCGAAGGCAGGUCUCUGGGCUGUAACUGACGCUGAGGAGCGAAAGCAUGGGGAGCGAACAGGAUUAGAUACCCUGGUAGUCCAUGCCGUAAACGUUGGGCACUAGGUGUGGGGGACAUUCCACGUUUUCCGCGCCGUAGCUAACGCAUUAAGUGCCCCGCCUGGGGAGUACGGCCGCAAGGCUAAAACUCA